This 1520-nucleotide ribosomal RNA is filed under the name uncultured bacterium. RNAcentral describes it as "bacterial SSU rRNA". It matches the Rfam family "Bacterial small subunit ribosomal RNA". The record is from RNAcentral.
AGAGUUUGAUCAUGGCUCAGGAUGAACGCUGGCGGCGUGCUUAACACAUGCAAGUCGAACGGAGAGCUUCUAACAGAGGGUUCGUCCAAUGAAGGAAGUUUCUUAGUGGCGGACGGGUGAGUAACGCGUGAGUAACCUGCCUUGGAGUGGGGAAUAACACAGGGAAACUUGUGCUAAUACCGCAUAAAGCAGUUGGGUCGCAUGACUCUGACUGCCAAAGAUUUAUCGCUCUGAGAUGGACUCGCGUCUGAUUAGCUAGUUGGUGGGGUAAUGGCCCACCAAGGCGACGAUCAGUAGCCGGACUGAGAGGUUGGCCGGCCACAUUGGGACUGAGAUACGGCCCAGACUCCUACGGGAGGCAGCAGUGGGGAAUAUUGGGCAAUGGGCGCAAGCCUGACCCAGCAACGCCGCGUGAAGGAAGAAGGCUUUCGGGUUGUAAACUUCUUUUGUCAGGGACGAAAAAAAUGACGGUACCUGACGAAUAAGCCACGGCUAACUACGUGCCAGCAGCCGCGGUAAUACGUAGGUGGCAAGCGUUAUCCGGAUUUACUGGGUGUAAAGGGCGUGUAGGCGGGAAAGCAGGUCAGAUGUGAAAACUAUGGGCUCAACCCAUAGCCUGCAUUUGAAACUGUUUUUCUUGAGUGUCGGAGAGGUAAUCGGAAUUCCGUGUGUAGCGGUGAAAUGCGUAGAUAUACGGAGGAACACCAGUGGCGAAGGCGGAUUACUGGACGAUAACUGACGCUGAGGCGCGAAAGCGUGGGGAGCAAACAGGAUUAGAUACCCUGGUAGUCCACGCCGUAAACGAUGGAUACUAGGUGUGGGGGGUCUGACCCCCUCCGUGCCGCAGUUAACACAAUAAGUAUCCCACCUGGGGAGUACGAUCGCAAGGUUGAAACUCAAAGGAAUUGACGGGGGCCCGCACAAGCGGUGGAGUAUGUGGUUUAAUUCGAAGCAACGCGAAGAACCUUACCAGGGCUUGACAUGGAGACGACCGGACUAGAGAUAGUCCUUCCUUCGGGGCGUCUCACACAGGUGGUGCAUGGUUGUCGUCAGCUCGUGUCGUGAGAUGUUGGGUUAAGUCCCGCAACGAGCGCAACCCUUAUUGUUAGUUGCUACGCAAGAGCACUCUAGCGAGACUGCCGUUGACAAAACGGAGGAAGGUGGGGACGACGUCAAAUCAUCAUGCCCCUUAUGUCCUGGGCCACACACGUACUACAAUGGUGGUAAACAGAGGGAAGCAAGACCGCGAGGUGGAGCAAACCCCUAAAAGCCAUCCCAGUUCGGAUCGCAGGCUGAAACCCGCCUGCGUGAAGUUGGAAUCGCUAGUAAUCGCGGACCAGCAUGCCGCGGUGAAUACGUUCCCGGGCCUUGUACACACCGCCCGUCACACCAUGAGAGUCGGGAACACCCGAAGUCCGUAGCCUAACCGCAAGGGGGGCGCGGCCGAAGGUGGGUUCGAUAAUUGGGGUGAAGUCGUAACAAGGUAGCCGUAUCGGAAGGUGCGGCUGGAUCACCUCCUU